UGGUAGCGAUAGCGAAGAGGUCACACCUGUUCUCAUGCCGAACACAGAAGUUAAGUUCUUCAGCGCCGAUGGUAGUUGGGGGCUUCCCCCUGCGAGAGUAGGACGCCGCCAGGCU
Molecule: ribosomal RNA, 115 nt
Filed under: Oceanobacillus oncorhynchi
Lineage: Bacteria; Bacillati; Bacillota; Bacilli; Caryophanales; Bacillaceae
Source: RNAcentral